CACUUUAACACUGAGGCGUGACGACGAGGCACUACGGUGCUGAAGCAACAAAUGCCCUGCUUCCAGGAAAAGCCUCUAAGCAUCAGGUAACAUCAAAUCGUACCCCAAACCGACACAGGUGGUCAGGUAGAGAAUACCAAGGCGCUUGAGAGAACUCGGGUGAAGGAACUAGGCAAAAUGGUGCCGUAACUUCGGGAGAAGGCACGCUGACACGUAGGUGAAGUGAUUUACUCAUGGAGCUGAAGUCAGUCGAAGAUACCAGCUGGCUGCAACUGUUUAUUAAAAACACAGCACUGUGCAAACACGAAAGUGGACGUAUACGGUGUGACGCCUGCCCGGUGCCGGAAGGUUAAUUGAUGGGGUCAGCGCAAGCGAAGCUCCUGAUCGAAG
This 390-nucleotide ribosomal RNA is filed under the name Salmonella enterica subsp. enterica serovar Typhimurium. Its description in RNAcentral is "bacterial LSU rRNA". It matches the Rfam family "Bacterial large subunit ribosomal RNA", at positions 1546 to 1917 of the family's 2925-position model. The record is from RNAcentral. Lineage: Bacteria; Pseudomonadati; Pseudomonadota; Gammaproteobacteria; Enterobacterales; Enterobacteriaceae.